This 407-nucleotide ribosomal RNA is filed under the name uncultured bacterium. Its description in RNAcentral is "partial 16S ribosomal RNA". It matches the Rfam family "Bacterial small subunit ribosomal RNA", at positions 30 to 526 of the family's 1533-position model. The record is from RNAcentral.
AUUGAACGCUGGCGGCAGGCCUAACACAUGCAAGUCGAGCGGAGCGGCGGACGGGUGAGUAAUGCCUAUGAAUCUGCCUGGUCGUGGGGGAUAACGUCCGGAACCGGGCGCUAAUGCUGCAUACUUUCAGAUUAGCAUAGGUCGGAUUAGCUAGUGGGUGGGGUAAAGGCCUACCAAGGCGACGAUCCGUAACUGGUCAGAGAGGAUGAUCAGGCACACGGGAACUGAGACACUGUCCAGACUCCUACGGUAGGCAGCAGUGGGGAAUAUUGGACAAUGGGCGAAAGCCUGAUGCAGCCAUGCCGCGUGUGUGAAGAAGGUCUUCGGAUUGUAAAGCACUUUAAGUUGGGAGGCGUUACCAACAGAAUAAGCACCGGCUAACUUCGUGCCAGCAGCCGCGGUAAUAC